GACGAACGCUGGCGGCGUGCCUAACACAUGCAAGUCGAACGGAAAGGCACUGAUUUUGUGGGGUGCCCGAGUGGCGAACGGGUGAGUAACACGUGUGUAACCUGCCCUUGACUUUGGGAUAACUUCAGGAAACUGGGGCUAAUACCGGAUAGGAGCCCAUGUUGCAUGGUAGGGGUUGGAAAGUUUCGGCGGUUGCGGUUGGAUUAGCGGCUGAUCAGCUUGUUGGUGGGGUAGGGGAUUACCAACCCUUUGGCGGGUAGCCGGCCCGGGAGGGUGACCGGCCACAUUGGGACUAAGGUACGGACCAGAGUCCUACGGGGGGCAGCGGUGGGAAAUAUUGCACAAUGGGCGGAAGCCGGAUGCAACGGCGCCGCGUGCGUAAUGACGGCCUUCUGGGAGUAAACCGCUUCCGCCUGUGACGAAGCGUGAGUGACGGUAAUGGAUAAAGAAGCACCGGCUAACUACGUG
RNAcentral lists this ribosomal RNA (468 nucleotides) under uncultured bacterium. RNAcentral's name for it is "partial 16S ribosomal RNA". It matches the Rfam family "Bacterial small subunit ribosomal RNA", at positions 28 to 507 of the family's 1533-position model. The record is from RNAcentral.